This is a long non-coding RNA of Anoplopoma fimbria (sablefish), 214 nucleotides long. RefSeq lists it as uncharacterized. Lineage: Eukaryota; Metazoa; Chordata; Actinopteri; Perciformes; Anoplopomatidae. The record is from RefSeq and is a predicted model, not a curated record. The transcript has 3 exons.
GUUCAGGUCUACAGAGUCCCAGUCUGGUUCAGGUCUACAGGUCUACAGGUCUACAGAGUCUCAGUCUGGUUCAGGUCUACAGAGUCUCAGUCUGGUUCAGGUCUACAGAGUCCCAGUCUGGUUCAGGUCUACAGAGUCUCAGUCUGGUUCAGGUCUACAGAGUCCCAGUCUGGUUCAGGUCUACAGAGUCUCAGUCUGGUUCAGGUCUACAGAG